GAUGAACGCUGGCGGCGUGCCUAAUACAUGCAAGUCGAGCGAACAGACGAGGAGCUUGCUCCUCUGUCGUUAGCGUCGGACGGGUGAGUAACACGUGGAUCACCUACCUAUAAGACUGGAAUAACUUCGGGAAACCGGAGCUAAUACCGGAUAAUCUAUUGAACCGCAUGGUUCAAUAGUGAAAGACGGUUUUGCUGUCACUUAUAGAUGGAUCCGCGCCGCCUUAGCUAGUUGGUAAGGUAACGGCUUACCAAUGCAACGAUGCGUAGCCGACCUGAGAGGGUGAUCGUCGACAGUGGAACUGAGACACGGUCCAGACUCCUACGGGAGGCAGCAGCAGGGAAUGGGCCGCAUGGGGCGAAAGCCUGACGGAGCAGCGGCGCGUGAGUGAUGAGGGUCUUCGGAUCGUAAAACUCUGUUAUUAGGGAAGAACAAAUGUGUAAGUAGCUAUGCACGUCGUGACGGUACCUAAUCAGAAAGCCACGGCUAACUACGUG
Molecule: ribosomal RNA, 497 nt
Filed under: uncultured bacterium
Lineage: Bacteria
Description: partial 16S ribosomal RNA
Rfam family: Bacterial small subunit ribosomal RNA
Source: RNAcentral